RNAcentral lists this transfer RNA (73 nucleotides) under Candidatus Shikimatogenerans bostrichidophilus. RNAcentral describes it as "tRNA-Gly". It matches the Rfam family "tRNA". Rfam says of the family: Transfer RNA (tRNA) molecules are approximately 80 nucleotides in length. Their secondary structure includes four short double-helical elements and three loops (D, anti-codon, and T loops). Lineage: Bacteria; Pseudomonadati; Bacteroidota; Flavobacteriia; Flavobacteriales. The record is from RNAcentral.
GCGGGAAUAAUUCAAUAGGUAGAAUGUCAGCCUUCCAAGUUGAUUGCUACGGGUUCGAGUCCCGUUUCCCGCU